CGUUGAAACACAGGUUCCCGUAUGAUCACCGAAGUUAAGCAAUGUCGAGCCUGGUCAGUACCUAGGUGGGUGACCGCUUGGGAAUAUCAGGUGCUGUAAGC
Molecule: ribosomal RNA, 101 nt
Filed under: Acanthosepion pharaonis
Lineage: Eukaryota; Metazoa; Mollusca; Cephalopoda; Sepiida; Sepiidae
Source: RNAcentral